RNAcentral lists this ribosomal RNA (465 nucleotides) under Vreelandella stevensii. Its description in RNAcentral is "partial 16S ribosomal RNA". It matches the Rfam family "Bacterial small subunit ribosomal RNA", at positions 338 to 795 of the family's 1533-position model. The record is from RNAcentral. Lineage: Bacteria; Pseudomonadati; Pseudomonadota; Gammaproteobacteria; Oceanospirillales; Halomonadaceae.
CCUACGGGGGGCAGCAGUGGGGAAUAUUGGACAAUGGGCGAAAGCCUGAUCCAGCCAUGCCGCGUGUGUGAAGAAGGCCUUCGGGUUGUAAAGCACUUUCAGUGGGGAAGAAAGCCUUGGGGCUAAUACCCUCGAGGAAGGACAUCACCCACAGAAGAAGCACCGGCUAACUCCGUGCCAGCAGCCGCGGUAAUACGGAGGGUGCGAGCGUUAAUCGGAAUUGCUGGGCGUAAAGCGCGCGUAGGCGGUCUGAUAAGCCGGUUGUGAAAGCCCCGGGCUCAACCUGGGAACGGCAUCCGGAACUGUCAGGCUAGAGUGCAGGAGAGGAAGGUAGAAUUCCCGGUGUAGCGGUGAAAUGCGUAGAGAUCGGGAGGAAUACCAGUGGCGAAGGCGGCCUUCUGGACUGACACUGACGCUGAGGUGCGAAAGCGUGGGUAGCAAACAGGAUUAGAUACCCGAGUAGUC